RNAcentral lists this ribosomal RNA (804 nucleotides) under uncultured Bacillota bacterium. Its description in RNAcentral is "bacterial SSU rRNA". It matches the Rfam family "Bacterial small subunit ribosomal RNA", at positions 58 to 842 of the family's 1533-position model. Lineage: Bacteria; Bacillati; Bacillota. The record is from RNAcentral.
CAAGUCGAACGCGAAAGUGGAGCAAUCCAUGAGUAGAGUGGCGAACGGGUGAGUAACGCGUGGGUGACCUACCUUCGAGUGGGGGAUAACGUCCCGAAAGGGACGCUAAUACCGCAUGACAUCCUGUCCUUGAACGGACGGAGAUCAAAGCCGGGGAUCGCAAGACCUGGCGCUUGUUGAGGGGCCCGCGUCUGAUUAGCUAGUUGGUGAGGUAACGGCCCACCAAGGCGACGAUCAGUAUCCGGCCUGAGAGGGCGGACGGACACACUGGGACUGAGACACGGCCCAGACUCCUACGGGAGGCAGCAGUGGGGAAUUGUUCGCAAUGGGCGCAAGCCUGACGACGCAACGCCGCGUGGAGGAUGAAGGUCUUCGGAUUGUAGACUCCUGUUGCCAGGGACGAAAAGCUCCGACCUAACACGUCGGAGUCUGACGGUACCUGGUGAGGAAGCCCCGGCUAACUCUGUGCCAGCAGCCGCGGUAAUACAGAGGGGGCUAGCGUUGUUCGGAAUUACUGGGCGUAAAGGGCGCGUAGGCGGCCCGCUAAGUCGAACGUGAAAUCCCCGGGCUCAACCCGGGAACUGCGUCCGAUACUGGCAGGCUUGAAUCCGGGAGAGGGAUGUGGAAUUCCAGGUGUAGCGGUGAAAUGCGUANAUAUCUGGAGGAACACCGGUGGCGAAGGCGGCAUCCUGGACCGGUAUUGACGCUGAGGCGCGAAAGCCAGGGGAGCAAACGGGAUUAGAUACCCCGGUAGUCCUGGCCCUAAACGAUGAAUGCUUGGUGUGGCGGGUAUCGAUCCCUGCC